GCUGCCUUUCCUGGCCGGUGCAGACCCAGCCGGGCCCAUCCUAUCCGGAGCAGCAUGCAGCUGAAGCCAGCUUCCCAGGUGCUGCUGGGGACAGAGCGAGCCCGACUGGGUCGGCACUGGCUAGCAGAAGCGGUGGCAAAGCCUCCUCCUUUUGGGACCAGCUGGCAUAGAGUGCUGCCGAAUGCUGGAGAGCGUGGGUAGAAGUGGGGCCAGGAAGAAGAGUGGUCUGACCUGCCCCAGAUGUUCCCUCCACCAGUUCCUAUGAUAAGAGUAGAUUGUUCAGAAUAUUAGGGAAGGAAGACAAAGAGUCGAAGACAAAGACAGGACCAGUGGAUGAAAUGUUCUAUGACAGCACAAUACUUGAAGCACCCGAUACUUCACAGAUUGAUGCUCUGAUGCAUGCCACAGCCAGUGGAAAAUUUCAUGACAAGUUGGGACAGGACUUCAGUUACUGCAAUGCAGUCCCUUAUCAUUUGGGCCAAAGGAUAGUUUCUCAUUAACUAUUAGCAAGACAGUGCUUCUGAACUUCAGCACAACUGAUCCCAUCCAGAGGGAAAACAUUAGCCAGUUCAUUACAACAUUAAGCAUCUUUUAAGACUUUUGUGCAGUUAGAACUCCCAUUGAGUUCACUGAAUUUUUCGUGUGUAAGGAAUGUAAAACGAAGCUGUAUGCAGCCUGAAUGAAAGGAAGGUAAAGGGUGCAAACACAGCCACAGCUAAUUUGUUUUUAAAAAUCUGAAAAGAACAGAGUAUUUUGCAGCCUCCCUCCAGUUUUACUGCUAACUAAUCUAAGGAACCAACCAACAUUUUGUAUGCACAUCAUUCAAAGACUUCUGCAAAGGAAUAUUUGACAGGGAUCAUUUCAGAGAGAGGUGCUGGAUAUAUCUUGAAUUUUCAAAUCAACGUACAAAAAUCCACCCUCUGAUCCUGUUUCCUGCUGCUGUGUCAUAAUAUUGCCCUCCAAGAAAGUCUCAUCUGCCCAUCCAAUUAGUGAAAGAGUAUUACCUAUGUUUCCAAUGAGACAAUAGACAAUUAAGUUGCCAUUUCACUUGGCUAUAAUAAGAUUCUUGUUUUCUAUCCUAAACCUUUUUGUGGGGUUGCAGUUUACUGCUAGCACAAUACUGCUAGCUGUAUUUUAUUCUCCCCCCACAAAGAUGUAUACACUUCAGUGGUGGAUUAAAUGAUUUAUAAAUGCUUCUAGGUUUAUAAGCAUAAGAUCAUUAUCAUUAUUAAUGAAGUUUAGUUACCUCACUGCAGCAAAACAGCCUGAGAAGUUCCUAGAUUUGCUUUUCUGUGUGAAGACCAGAGAUAAAAAUUUAGAGAAGAUCAAACAAAUGAAAAAUACAUCAAGACAAACCAUAAAUGAUGUCAACUUUUCAGCAAAUUACACACUUUGCAUUUGGUGUCAGCAAUAUUUUUUGAUCCUAGAGGAUUUUAUAAUGCAUCAUCCCUGAAUUGUACUUCUUGUUAGGCUGCAAUUUUAUCUUAGAAGGGUUAUAUUGACUCAAAUUUUGCUAUUAUAGUUAAUAAUGGCAGCAAAUUACUUUUUUUUUUUUUUAAAUGGCCUUGUACUAUAGACUGCAUAUUGUUUAGCUUCCAGAGUCAUCCGUCAAGGACCGUUCAUAACAACCUCUGAUAAAUCCUAUUAUU
Long non-coding RNA from Alligator sinensis (Chinese alligator), 1649 nucleotides. RefSeq lists it as uncharacterized. The record is from RefSeq and is a predicted model, not a curated record. NCBI's taxonomy places the organism in Eukaryota, Metazoa, Chordata, Crocodylia, Alligatoridae. The transcript is spliced from 3 exons.